UCUGGUGACAAUGGCAAGGAGGUCACACCUGUUCCCAUGCCGAACACAGAAGUUAAGCUCCUUAGCGCCGAUGGUAGUUGGAUUUACGUUC
RNAcentral lists this ribosomal RNA (91 nucleotides) under Staphylococcus haemolyticus. The record is from RNAcentral. Lineage: Bacteria; Bacillati; Bacillota; Bacilli; Caryophanales; Staphylococcaceae.